This 456-nucleotide ribosomal RNA is filed under the name uncultured bacterium. RNAcentral describes it as "bacterial SSU rRNA". It matches the Rfam family "Bacterial small subunit ribosomal RNA", at positions 28 to 484 of the family's 1533-position model. The record is from RNAcentral.
GAUGAACGCUAGCGGCAGGCCUAAUACAUGCAAGUCGAACGGUAACAGGUAGCAAUACGCUGACGAGUGGCGCACGGGUGAGUAACACGUACACAAUCUGCCUUAUACUGGGGCAUAUCCUCGCGAAAGUGAGAGCAAUUCCCCAUAAUAUAUUUGAAUGGCAUCAUUUGAAUAUUAAAGUUCAGGCGGUAUAAGAUGAGUGUGCGUCUGAUUAGGUAGUUGGUGAGGUAAUGGCUCACCAAGCCUGCGAUCAGUAGCUGGUCUGAGAGGAUGAUCAGUCACACGGACACUGAGACACGGGUCCGACUCCUACGGGAGGCAGCAGUAGGGAAUAUUGGACAAUGGGCGCAAGCCUGAUCCAGCCAUCCCGCGUGAAGGAUGAAGGCCCUCUGGGUCGUAAACUUCUUUUAUCUGGGAAUAAAACUCGUAUUUAUAUGAGCUUGAAGGUACCAGAGG